This 253-nucleotide ribosomal RNA is filed under the name uncultured bacterium. Its description in RNAcentral is "partial 16S ribosomal RNA". It matches the Rfam family "Bacterial small subunit ribosomal RNA", at positions 524 to 776 of the family's 1533-position model. The record is from RNAcentral.
UACGGAGGGUGCGAGCGUUGUCCGGAAUCACUGGGCGUAAAGGGCGCGUAGGCGGCCUUCUAAGUCGAACGUGAAAUCCCCGGGCUCAACCCGGGAACUGCGUCCGAUACUGGAAGGCUUGAAUCCGGGAGAGGGAUGUGGAAUUCCAGGUGUAGCGGUGAAAUGCGUAGAUAUCUGGAGGAACACCGGUGGCGAAGGCGACAUCCUGGACCGGUAUUGACGCUGAGGCGCGAAAGCCAGGGGAGCAAACGGG